CCGGCGCACGGGUGAGUAACACGUAUGGAACCUGCCCUAUGCAGGGGGAUAAGCGGAAGAAAUUCCGUCUAAUACCGCAUAACACCUUUAGGAGACAUCUUCUUGGGGUCAAAGGAGGCGACUCCGGCAUAGGAUGGCCAUGCGUCGCAUUAGCUAGUCGGCGGGGUAACGGCCCACCGAGGCGACGAUGCGUAGGGGUUCUGAGAGGAAGGUCCCCCACACUGGUACUGAGACACGGACCAGACUCCUACGGGAGGCAGCAG
This 263-nucleotide ribosomal RNA is filed under the name uncultured bacterium. RNAcentral's name for it is "partial 16S ribosomal RNA". It matches the Rfam family "Bacterial small subunit ribosomal RNA", at positions 95 to 354 of the family's 1533-position model. The record is from RNAcentral.